AACGCGAAGAACCUUACCAAGGCUUGACAUCUAGAGAAGUCACCAGAAAUGGAGAUGUGCCCGCAAGGGAACUCUAAGACAGGUGGUGCAUGGCUGUCGUCAGCUCGUGCCGUGAGGUGUUGGGUUAAGUCCCGCAACGAGCGCAACCCUUACUCAUAGUUGCUACCCGCAAGGGAGAACUCUAUGAGGACUGCUCCGGAUAACGGAGAGGAAGGUGGGGAUGAGGUCAAGUCAGCAUGGCCUUUAUGUCCAGGGCUACACACGUGUUACAAUGCGCGCUACAGAGCGUUGCAAACCCGCGAGGGGGAGCUAAUCGCACAAAAGCGCGCUCAGUUCGGAUUGCAGUCUGCAACUCGACUGCAUGAAGCCGGAAUCGCUAGUAAUGGCGCAUCAGAACGGCGCCGUGAAUACGUUCCCGGGCCUUGUACACACCGACUGUAC
RNAcentral lists this ribosomal RNA (441 nucleotides) under uncultured bacterium. Its description in RNAcentral is "bacterial SSU rRNA". It matches the Rfam family "Bacterial small subunit ribosomal RNA", at positions 958 to 1399 of the family's 1533-position model. The record is from RNAcentral.